UACGUAGGUGGCAAGCGUUAUCCGGAUUUAUUGGGCGUAAAGCGAGCGCAGGCGGUUGCUUAGGUCUGAUGUGAAAGCCUUCGGCUCAACCGGAGAAUUGCAUCAGAAACUGUUGAACUUGAGUGCAGAAGAGGAGAGUGGAACUCCAUGUGUAGCGGUGAAAUGCGUAGAUAUUAGGAAGAACACCGGAGGCGAAGGCGGCUUACUGGACUGUAACUGACGCUGAGGCUCGAAAGCGUGGGGAGCAAAAAGG
This 253-nucleotide ribosomal RNA is filed under the name uncultured Lactobacillus sp. RNAcentral's name for it is "partial 16S ribosomal RNA". It matches the Rfam family "Bacterial small subunit ribosomal RNA", at positions 524 to 776 of the family's 1533-position model. Lineage: Bacteria; Bacillati; Bacillota; Bacilli; Lactobacillales; Lactobacillaceae. The record is from RNAcentral.